This 589-nucleotide ribosomal RNA is filed under the name Protoopalina intestinalis. Its description in RNAcentral is "bacterial SSU rRNA". It matches the Rfam family "Eukaryotic small subunit ribosomal RNA", at positions 1187 to 1804 of the family's 1831-position model. The record is from RNAcentral. Lineage: Eukaryota; Bigyra; Opalinata; Opalinidae.
GGCUUAAUUUGACUCAACACGGGGAAACUUACCAGGUCCAGACACAGUAAGGAUUGACAGAUUGAAGCUCUUUCUUGAUUCUGUGGGUGGUGGUGCAUGGCCGUUCUUAGUUGGUGGAGUGAUUUGUCUGGUUAAUUCCGAUAACGAACGAGACCUCCGCUUAUUAAAUAAUAUUAUUAUAUUAGUAUAAUAUAUAUUUCUUAAAAGGACACUAGAUUUAUAUUCUAGGGAAGUUGGAGGCAAUAACAGGUCUGUGAUGCCCUUAGAUGUUCUGGGCCGCACGUGUGACACAAUGAUAUAUACAACAAGUAUUAAAUUAUACCUAAAUUGAAAAAUUGUGGUAAUCUUUAAUAUAUAUCGUGUUUGGGAUUGAUGCUUGUAAUUAUUCAUCAUGAACGAGGAACACCUAGUAAGUGCAAGUCAUCAGCUUGCGCUGAAUACGUCCCUGCCCUUUGUACACACCGCCCGUCGCACCUACCGAUUGGAUGGUCCGGUGAAAACAAUAGAAAUUAAUGAAGUUUCGACUAAUUUAGUUAAAGUUGUUUAAAUCUUACUAUCUAGAGGAAGGUGAAGUCGUAACAAGGUUUCC